UUGUCCUGUGACUGCGUACCUUUUGUAUAAUGGGUCAGCGACUUAUAUUCAGUGGCAAGGUUAACCAUCUAGGGGAGCCGUAGGGAAACCGAGUCUUAACUGGGCGUUCAGUCUCUGGAUAUAGACCCGAAACCAGGUGAUCUAGCCAUGGGCAGGUUGAAGGUUGAGUAACAUCAACUGGAGGACCGAACCGACUAAUGUUGAAAAAUUAGCGGAUGACUUGUGGCUAGGGGUGAAAGGCCAAUCAAACCUGGAGAUAGCUGGUUCUCCCCGAAAGCUAUUUAGGUAGCGCCUCGGACGAAUACUACUGGGGGUAGAGCACUGUUAAGGCUAGGGGGUCAUCCCGACUUACCAACCCUUUGCAAACUCCGAAUACCAGUAAGUACUA
This 388-nucleotide ribosomal RNA is filed under the name Vibrio parahaemolyticus. RNAcentral's name for it is "partial 23S ribosomal RNA". It matches the Rfam family "Bacterial large subunit ribosomal RNA", at positions 586 to 974 of the family's 2925-position model. Lineage: Bacteria; Pseudomonadati; Pseudomonadota; Gammaproteobacteria; Vibrionales; Vibrionaceae. The record is from RNAcentral.